Molecule: ribosomal RNA, 492 nt
Filed under: uncultured bacterium
Lineage: Bacteria
Description: partial 16S ribosomal RNA
Rfam family: Bacterial small subunit ribosomal RNA
Source: RNAcentral
AGUGAACGCUGGCGGCAGGCCUAACACAUGCAAGUCGAACGGAAACACAGUAAGAGCUUGCUCUUACGGGUGGCGAGUGGCGGACGGGUGAGGAAUACAUCGGAUUCCUCUUUUUCGUGGGUGAUAACGUAGGGAAACUUACGCUAAUACCGCAUAUGUCGUACGGGUGAAAGCAGGGGAUCUUCGGACCUUGCGCGAUUGAAUGAGCCGAUGUCGGAUUAGCUAGUUGGCGGGGUAAAGGCCUACCAAGGCGACGAUCCGUAGCUGGUCUGAGAGGAUGAUCAGCCACACUAGAACUGAGACACGGUCCAGACUCCUACGGGAGGCAGCAGUGGGGAAUAUUAGGCAAUGGGCGAAAGCCUGAUCCAGCCAUACCGCGUGAGUGAAGAAGGCCUUCGGGUUGUAAAGCCCUGUUGUUGGGAAAGAAAAACAGCAGGUUAACACCCGGCUGUUCUGACGGUACCCAAAGAAGAAGCACCGGCUAACUUCGUG